RNAcentral lists this long non-coding RNA (254 nucleotides) under Nicotiana benthamiana. RNAcentral describes it as "long non-coding RNA (NBEN_LNC030181)". Lineage: Eukaryota; Viridiplantae; Streptophyta; Magnoliopsida; Solanales; Solanaceae. The record is from RNAcentral.
GCUCCAUCGUACAUGUCCUUGAUUACUCUGAUGUAGGAUUCCGGCAUGCUCUUCGCCUCCAAGCACCUCCAUAGCACCUCCCUUGGGACCUUGUCAUACGCCUUCUCCAAGUCGAUAAGCACCAAUGUGCAGGUCCUUCUUCUUAUCCCUGAACUGCUCCACCAGCCUCCUGACAAGGUGGAUAGCUUCUGUAGUGGAGUGCCCCGGCAUGAAACCGAACUGGUUCACAGAUAUAGAUAUCAUCUCCCUCACCC